CCGCGGGAUUAGAGUUUGAUCCUGGCUCAGAUUGGACGCUGGCGGCGUGCCUAACACAUGCAAGUCGAGCGGUAACAGGUGUAGCAAUACAUGCUGACGAGCGGCGAACGGGUGAGUAAUGCUUUGGAAUCUUCCCAGUAGUGGGGAAUAACCAGUCGAAAGAUUGGCUAAUACCGCAUACGUCUGUAAAGGGAAAGCGGGGGCUCGUAAGACCUCGCGCUAUUGGAUGAGCCAAAGUCGGAUUAGCUAGUUGGUGGGGUAAUGGCCUACCAAGGCGACAAUCCGUAGCUGGUCUGAGAGGACGACCAGCCACACCGGAACUGAGACACGGUCCGGACUCCUACGGGAGGCAGCAGUGGGGAAUAUUGGACAAUGGGGAAACCCUGAUCCAGCGACGCCGCGUGUGUGAAGAAGGCCUGCGGGUUGUAAAGCACUUUUAGUGGGGACAAAAAGUCACGGCCUAAUAAUCUGUGAUCUUGAUUUAACCUACAGAAAAAGCACCGGCUAACUCUGUGCCAGCAGCCGCGGUAAUACAGAGGGUGCGAGCGUUAAUCGGAAUUACUGGGCGUAAAGCGCGCGUAGACGGUUUUGUAAGUCAGAUGUGAAAUCCCUGGGCUCAACCUGGGAACUGCAUUUGAUACUGCAUGGCUAGAGUAUCGAAGAGGGAAGUGGAAUUUCCGGUGUAGCGGUGAAAUGCGUAGAUAUCGGAAGGAACACCAGUGGCGAAAGCGACUUCCUGGUCGAAUACUGACGUUCAUGUGCG
Molecule: ribosomal RNA, 763 nt
Filed under: uncultured Gammaproteobacteria bacterium
Lineage: Bacteria; Pseudomonadati; Pseudomonadota; Gammaproteobacteria
Description: bacterial SSU rRNA
Rfam family: Bacterial small subunit ribosomal RNA
Source: RNAcentral